GCCAGUGAUGAUAGUUUUUAUUAAUGGUUGACUGAAAUGCAUGUUUUAUACUUGCAAAAUUGUUGAAAAUCAUGAACUAGGACGGUCUGAGGC
Small nucleolar RNA from Lactuca sativa (garden lettuce), 93 nucleotides. RefSeq annotates it as small nucleolar RNA snoR20a. The record is from RefSeq and is a predicted model, not a curated record. Lineage: Eukaryota; Viridiplantae; Streptophyta; Magnoliopsida; Asterales; Asteraceae.